AAUGAACGCUGGCGGCGUGCUUAACACAUGCAAGUCGAACGAUGAAGUCCUUCGGGAUGGAUUAGUGGCGCACGGGUGAGUAAUAUAUAGAUAACGUGCCUCUUAGUCUGGGAUAGCCAUUGGAAACGAUGAUUAAUACUAGAUACUCCUUCUCUUCACAUGGAGAGUCGGGAAAGUUUUUUCGCUAAGAGAUCGGUCUAUAUCGCAUCAGUUAGUUGGUGGGGUAACGGCCCACCAAGGCAAUGACGCGUAGCGGGUUUGAGAGGAUGAUCCGCCACACUGGUACUGAGACACGGACCAGACUCCUACGGGAGGCAGCAGUGAGGAAUAUUGCACAAUGGGGGAAACCCUGAUGCAGCAACGCCGCGUGGAGGAUGACGCAUUUCGGUGUGUAAACUCCUUUUAUAAUGGAAGAUAAUGACGGUACAUUAUGAAUAAGCACCGGCUAACUCCGU
RNAcentral lists this ribosomal RNA (455 nucleotides) under uncultured Campylobacterota bacterium. Its description in RNAcentral is "bacterial SSU rRNA". It matches the Rfam family "Bacterial small subunit ribosomal RNA", at positions 29 to 506 of the family's 1533-position model. Lineage: Bacteria; Pseudomonadati; Campylobacterota. The record is from RNAcentral.